CGCUCCUCCUCCCACCCCGCCUGCUCGGCGGCAGAGGCGGCGGUAGCGGCAGCGGUUGUUCUUGCCUCUCCGCCACCUCCACCGCCGCCUGU
This 92-nucleotide microRNA precursor is filed under the name Octodon degus (degu). RNAcentral's name for it is "miRNA (ENSODEG00000022207.1)". The record is from RNAcentral. Lineage: Eukaryota; Metazoa; Chordata; Mammalia; Rodentia; Octodontidae.